ACAUAUAUUUCCUUAUCUUUUAAGUUUUAUAUGUUUUAGCAUAGGAAAUUGGGCCAAACUUUGUAGCAAAUUAACAACACUCCCAACUUUCAAAAAAAAAAAAAAUGUGAUAGACAAACAUGAAUGUGUUUUCAUCUUUGUGUGGAAGAACUAGAAAUUAUAUACAUGGGUUCUAAUGUUAAAAAUUAAUACUGAAAUCAGGAUGGUGAGCUUUUUUCUUCAGACUUUUGUUCUGUUGUUAAAGGGGCUGUCUCACGUAUGAUAGAAUAGCGAAAGAAAAAAAAAUGUUGAAAACUGACAUAAACUUGGCAUCGAUGUGUACAAUGCGUUGAAGCUUACUAACUGAAGUACCACAUAGUUUACAAUUUAUUUAAGUUUAGCAGUUAUUUCGUAUUUUUCCAUUAAAAAAGAUUACUGGGUAUGUCAACCAGGUUGAAUUCAUUCCUUAUGGGUGAUUGGCUAGUCAUUGUUAUCACGUGAUAUUAACGAGGUAGGUGUAUAGCUUAAUUAUGUCACCCGAUUAGUAUAAGCCUUUGUAGCUCAGUGAGUAAGACGCUGGACUUCAAUUUUGGCGACGCAGGUUCAAACCCGGUCUUUGACACAAUUUUUUUUUUACAUUUUGGUACUUUUUUUACAAUUAUGAUAUCAAAGCGUAACACAUUCUAUUAGAUAAUUGUCCUGAGAUUCGUUACAGAAAAAAACUUUUUUUGGUGCCAAUCUGUGACACAGUCCCUUUAAGAUUGCUUUUUGAUCCUGAAGACAAUUGCAUCAGACAGUAAGAAGUACCUUAAAUGGGAUCUUAGCCCCUUGACCCUGCUUUUGGCAUGAAUCCCUCAUCCUCAAACAGACCCCUGGCUAUUUUCAGGAUUUGCAGCUUUAUAUACAAAAACACACUGGAAAGGUUUUUGUUUCCCAAGUUGGACCUUUCAGGGGACUGAAAAUAAGCUACUCAAGUCUUUAUAUUUUUUGGUAAUUGGCCUGUAAAUGUAUGCAGUUCUUGCUUUCAGACAACAUCUUGUUACAGGCUUAUAAUUGCCUCUAAGCAUUUGUUGUUUUGCUGUUAUUGUCAAAACACAUGUUUGGGUUAGAAUAAUGGCUUUGUUCUUACUUGUCAUUCAUGAACAUAAGAUGUGCCAGACUCCAAGCUGUAAAGUAUAUUUAUCCUAUUGAUCUUUAGGGCCACGUUCAUAGUAGGCACAUCAGAUCGUUACUACAAAUGAUUACACGGUGAUUCAGUCGAAAUAAUGCGCUCUUUGAAGGCUUGAAUACACAUGACAUCUUUAAACUUCAACAAAUCUGAAUUGAUGUAUAGUAAUGUACACUUGAACUCGUACAUUUUGCAUAUCCCUGAAAAUGCAGCUUAAAAAAUCACAAAAUGAAUACAACAUAUUUAUACGCAACCGCUCGAAAACGGCGAAAACCCAAGUGUAUUGUUACAGGUGUAAGUCGGUUAUAAGAAGUAGUUACCAUAAUUGAUUAAUCGAUUCCAAACAAUUCUAAAAUUUCCUUAAAAAUGAAAUGAUAUGUAAACACUAUUUCACUGAUCAAUAAACAAACGAACGAAGUGAAUGCCUUUUGGAAACCGUAUAUCGAUAAAGUAUAUUAUACAGAUUACUCCGCUUGUAUUUAGCAUAGAUUUUAGUCAUUUCACUUAUCGAUCGUCGCCAUUUUGUAAGCGCCCUGCCUAAGAGUGUCUCAUGGACUUCAGCUGGAAUAAAUGUGUAUUGUAAGUAUUUUAUAAUCAGAUUGUUACACAUGAAUGGCUCUACGUGUGCGUGGUAUGACAGUUAUUGAAAUUGCUUCAUUAUUUACACUGUAUAUUCACCUGUCAAUGUGCGUUGUUUAUGUGCGUGACCUACAUUAAUUGAGAGGCCUAAAUCAUGAACAUGCGUGUUUAUUCUAUUAUUAAAUUUGUUUGGAUUAGGAUGUGAAUUUGUGUAGUUCAUCUAGCUAAUUUUGAUGACGUAUAUUAUGCUUUCCUCAAUUUAUGCAUUCGUGCCGUUCGUGGCUCACCGGUCCUACUAAACACUGCACACACAGUCUCGUGACCUACUAAGUAGUUGUAGGAAUGUACUGUAGUCGAUUGUAAUAAUCUCCCCUUAUUAAUCUCAUGAAUAUUAAUUUUCCACGGAAGGCGACCAUAUGCUGGUACCGGUUUUAUACACCCAUUAAAACACAUAUAUAUCAACAUUUUGCGGAGAACCAUGUGGCUAUUUAUAGCUAAAAUUAGUUGUUGAAAUAUUCUGGGAUCCAGUCAGAGUUCACUGAAAACUAACUGAAAACGUGUUUUUUCUAAAAGAAAAACGAAAGUGAAAAUUUGAUUAAAUGUUUUUUUCAUAUUUUAAGGCAAGUACAAAGGAUUAUUUGGUUUGUUUUUAAGCAUGGGAGGGGUCUCUCAUAGCUUUUUAUCACUUUUGAUACAAAAACAACUGGACUAUGAACGUUCUUAGACCAUUUAUAGACUUUGCUAAAAUGUAAACAAAAAUCCAAAAUGGCUGCCGCGAAGUGAAACUUCAGUUUUCACUAAGUCAGAUGUUUGAUGAUUAAUGCAUGAAACAGUAAUGUUGCUGACAGCUUCAAACUGCAAGUACACCUUGUGUAAAUAGAUGUAAACAUUAAGAAUGAAUACAUUUUAUGUCUAUUCUUUAAAUAUUUGUAAAAAAACGUUCUCAAAUAUGUUUACAGUAUGUAAUAAAUACGUGUUUAUGUAAAAUAAAGCCCAAGAAAAAUGCCAGAUUUAGGUUACAUCAGUAGUUUUCAGACUGAAACGUGAUAUUGGGUUCAUCUUCAAGUGUUGGCUUUGAAGCACCUGUCAUGAGCAGCUUUUGGUCGUGGAGGAACACUUAAAAGUUGAACCCAUCAAUUUAAACUGUUAUGCCAGAGAUGUGUUAAUUGAGUAUGUUGUAUAGGCUAUAAGGGCAUCAAUGAUUGUUUGUUUGGGUAGACCUUGUUGUUGAUUGAUUUAUUUUCCUUUCUUAUUAUUUUAAACAGACCCGGGAGGAACUGUAAAGAACCAGCCAGGCAGCCGCCCGCCAAGCUGCCCACCCGGCCGAGCUGUACUUGGUGUAUGCCAACAUGCCGACAUGGUGUAAUUUGUUAGUACUUUAAGAACAUGCAAUGGAAAAUGUAUCCAAACUGAAGUAUAAAGCAAAAGAAAUAAAAAGUGAGCCGCUUUCAUAAAGAUUAGAGCCAAUCUUCAAGGACAAGAACCAGUGCUGGUAUGUGGUCUCAUGUGGUUUUCCAUACCGGCUCUCAGCAAGGAUUUCAUAGAAAGGAAUACCGUCUCCAUAUCAUGAUGUGCUAAUAAGCUCCAGUUAGCUGCGCCUUUUUCCUCCCGGCAGCAGUCCUGCAACCUGAAUCCAGGAGAUGCAGCUCUGAAUCCAAUAUUUCAGAAGAAUGAAGAUUAUGUGUUGCAUAUAGCCUGAAGAUGAACUAUAGGAGUUUUGAAGUCUGUUUCUGAAAAACUGUUGCUUAAAUAGGCUCAAGACCACAGUUAUCAGUCAUAUAGAAAACUGAAGCCUUCAGGAAGUCAACGCGGCCAUGAUAUUGAUUUACUCAGCUGUGAUGUAACAUGCCUUCAAGCCACUAUUCGAAGAACAUUCAGACGUUCUAAAUGGACCAUUGCCCUGUUGCCAUGGAAAUCAUUAUGAGGAGGAGCACACAAACUGUCACUUGUUUUGAAUACCAGAUGUACCACAAACUUACCAUAAACUUUUCGGAUGCUCUGUUUAUUUCAUCAGCCAAUUUCAAUGUAUAUUUUACUGAAUAACGACAAACAAUCUUUAUUAACGAUGCUCAGCUCUUACUCAUAAGCAUCUCUUACUCAUCCGUAUUCCACAACUAAACAUGCUUGCAAUUACACUGUACCAUCUAUCAUAAUAUAGCAAUGCUGCAAUUACCACAUUUUUUGUACCAGUUGUUGCUUUAUACUGAAACUUUUAUUGAAAAUGGUGCAUAAACACUGAUAACCCAUAAAUGUUUCAUUCAUAUAUUUGUACAUGUUCUUUCAGUGUAUAUGUUGAUAAUGUUGAUACAUUUUUCAUGUGCAUUUACACAUGUGUUUAUUGCCAACCUCAUCAAAACAUGCAUAGUUUGCUCACAUGCUCACAUACAUAUUUCCAACACAGACAUUUACUGAAUGUAUUAAUUACUACUUUACGUUGAUUUUGAUAUGUAAAUACAACAUUGUACUACUCGUUUGUACAAAACGCUUUUCAUUUGCUAUGUUGUUUGUUUCCAUGUUCUGUCUGCAUGCAGAUGGUAUUUUCAUAUCAAUUUUAAGCUUAACUAUUCGUAGAAUAUGGAGAGCUAUACUUCUCACCCAAGCCCCGGCGUCAGCGUCACACCUUGGUUAUUUAAUCCAAAUAAUAGGACUUUAUUAUUCGACUUAGAAAUUCUGGUUAAGGUUUUGCGUACAAGCACACAUAGGUUAAUAUCUCAGCAGCUACUUGAGGUAUUGCAUUGAGACUUGUUGCAAUGGUACUCAACCAUCCAACCUAUAAAUUAACCAAGUAAGGUAACUUGACUUUGCAUUUAAUGCAAAAGAUAGGCCUUUAUUAUUCGACUUAGAUAUUCUGAUUAAGGUUUUGUGAGCAAGCACACAUUAUAUAAAUAUCAAAGCAACUACUUCAUGUAUUGCAUUGAGACUCAUACAAUUGUACUCAACCAUCAAACUUCCCCAUGUAAGAUAGCUCUAGUUUCAUUUAAUGCAAAUAAUUGCCCUUUAUUAUUCAACAUAGAAAUUUUGGUUAAGGUUUUGCGUGUAAGCACACAUAGGUAAAUUUCCCAGCAACUACUCGAUGUAUUGCAUUGAGACUUUAUAGAAUGGUAUUUAACCACUCAAUGUAAUUGAAUAACCAAGAUAUAUAACUGUAAUUUGCAAAUAAUUGCCCUUUAUUAUUAGACUUAAACAUUCUGGUGACAUUUAUGUUAAUAUCUCACCACAUGAAUUGCAUUGAAAUCUUAUCUAACAGUGAACCAUGCAUGUUUCGCCAAAACUUUUCAAUCCUUACAUUGAAAAGCGGCUGAAUAGUCGAGCCCGCUGUCUCUGUGACAGCUCUUGUUCAACAUUUAGGUGAUGUUCAUUUCCAUUGUGAAACUUAUCCCUUGGGAACAAUAUUAACAUCUUUUAGCAUACAUGCCUGGAUGAGUUUUAAAAAAUGACCAUAAUAUGCAUACUUACUGCAUGAAAAUAUACAAUGGCAUACAUUUCAUAUCAACUUGUGUAUCUGUAUUUCUCUUUCAACUACUUCAAAAUAACAAACGUCCCAACCCUAAAAUGUUCAAACAUAUUCUACAUACAUUAUUUUUAUCUUGCACUGUAUAUAUAUGUUCUAUAUGUAUAUAUCACGCCUAAUAAAAUUGAAGCCUGUCAACUAGUACGUUGUUGUGAAACAUAUGAACCCCACCUCUCAACUUCCCUGUGUGUUCCUAUCAAUUUGUUUCUGAAAUUCCUGUCAUCAUUUAAAUAAAUUGCUUACUUUCUCGAAGCCACCGUUCCUCAGCGCUUUCAGCGCUUUGAUUUGAAUUGCAGCAUAAGACGUAUUGUUUUAAUGACGCAAAUGGAAUUCCUUGAAGAAGUUUCUUUUCACUUCUCAUGUUUGAUAUUUAUUUAUUUACAUCCAUUGAGAUAAGAAUAGAAGUAGACAUCGGGUUCUUGUAUUAAGGUGACAAUAUAAUGUUUGCUCACUUUCAAAAAUAGACCUGGCCCCAAUUAUUCAAAAUAUUUAAAACCAGAUUACUAAGCUCACUACAUUUGUUUUUAACAAUAUGUUUAAUUUAAUCAUUCAUCAGACUUUUUAGAUUUUAAAAGGAAAUUAUGAUUGUGAUUA
Long non-coding RNA from Mya arenaria, 5831 nucleotides. RefSeq lists it as uncharacterized. Lineage: Eukaryota; Metazoa; Mollusca; Bivalvia; Myida; Myidae. The record is from RefSeq and is a predicted model, not a curated record. The transcript has 5 exons.